RNAcentral lists this non-coding RNA (201 nucleotides) under Lysinibacillus sphaericus. RNAcentral describes it as "Lysinibacillus sp. T-box sequence". It matches the Rfam family "T-box leader". From Rfam's summary of the family: Uncharged tRNA acts as the effector for transcription antitermination of genes in the T-box leader family. T-boxes are found upstream of many aminoacyl-tRNA synthetase genes and some amino acid biosynthetic genes usually in Gram-positive bacteria. The record is from RNAcentral. Lineage: Bacteria; Bacillati; Bacillota; Bacilli; Caryophanales; Bacillaceae.
GUAAAAACAUUGACGAAGAAAGUACGUAUUGCCCGGGCGUUGUAGAGAGAGGUUUCUUGGCUGUAAAAACCUUACGCAAGCAUUACCGAAAGCUACUUCCGAGUUGCAAGCUUAAACUUGCCGUAAAACUACGUUACAGUAACUAAGAGACAGCUAACGCUGUAAAUUAGGGUGGUACCGCGACUAAUCCUCGUCCCUUUA